RNAcentral lists this ribosomal RNA (429 nucleotides) under Chloroflexota bacterium. Its description in RNAcentral is "Chloroflexi bacterium partial 16S ribosomal RNA". It matches the Rfam family "Bacterial small subunit ribosomal RNA", at positions 355 to 776 of the family's 1533-position model. The record is from RNAcentral. Lineage: Bacteria; Bacillati; Chloroflexota.
UGGGGAAUAUUGCACAAUGGGCGCAAGCCUGAUGCAGCCAUGCCGCGUGUGUGAAGAAGGCCUUCGGGUUGUAAAGCACUUUCAGCGGGGAGGAAGGCGGUGAGGUUAAUAACCUCAUCGAUUGACGUUACCCGCAGAAGAAGCACCGGCUAACUCCGUGCCAGCAGCCGCGGUAAUACGGAGGGUGCAAGCGUUAAUCGGAAUUACUGGGCGUAAAGCGCACGCAGGCGGUCUGUCAAGUCGGAUGUGAAAUCCCCGGGCUCAACCUGGGAACUGCAUUAGAAACUGGCAGGCUAGAGUCUUGUAGAGGGGGGUAGAAUUCCAGGUGUAGCGGUGAAAUGCGUAGAGAUCUGGAGGAAUACCGGUGGCGAAGGCGGCCCCCUGGACAAAGACUGACGCUCAGGUGCGAAAGCGUGGGGAGCAAACAGG